Molecule: unclassified non-coding RNA, 211 nt
Filed under: Hevea brasiliensis (rubber tree)
Lineage: Eukaryota; Viridiplantae; Streptophyta; Magnoliopsida; Malpighiales; Euphorbiaceae
Source: RNAcentral
GGGUCCAGAAAAUUCAUCAAGGUAUGUUGCAUUUCUUAUUUUUCUUCUCUGUUUCUUUUUUCCUUUUCUUGCGAUCCAGUUUUGAUUCAUGUUUGCUGUUUUGCAUAACUCCAGUGUUUGUGCUAAUUGAUUGAACAGCUUCUUGUAAUAGCUCGAGACAAACAUUUUGGCCAAAUUGUAUUUAACCAUACCCUUUAUUUGUAUGUUUUAA